This 408-nucleotide unclassified non-coding RNA is filed under the name fungal sp. Its description in RNAcentral is "partial internal transcribed spacer region". The stretch from base 1 to 46 matches the Rfam family "Eukaryotic small subunit ribosomal RNA", at positions 1786 to 1831 of the family's 1831-position model. Lineage: Eukaryota; Fungi. The record is from RNAcentral.
AAGUCGUAACAAGGUUUCCGUAGGUGAACCUGCGGAAGGAUCAUUAUCACGUAAUAAUCCACGUUAUCAACCCUUUUCAAGUGAACUGUUUUGCACUACACUCUUUUUAAUAUUAAUGUGGCAUUUUCUGUUUGGUUUAAAUAAUAAUAGUGAUGUGUUGGUUAUUGUACAAUAAUAACCCCUUCAUUAUUAUUAUGAACAAGAUUUGCCUCUAUAUUAAAAAGUGUGUAUGUAUUUAUCUUAUUUCUUUUUUUUUUAACCAAUUGAACCAUACCACUUUUAAGAUUUUUGAACUGAUUUAACGAAAACAACAAAAGUCCAAGAUUGAAAAGUCUUGUCUGACUUAGUUUUCGUUACUAUAUUACGAAAACACUAGAACAACUCUUAGCAACGGAUAUCUUGGCUCUC